AUCCCAUGUUAAGGACAAGCUAGGAUGUAUUCCUGGAGCCUCUCCCAUGCCUCCAGGGUUGAAUCAUUUGCUGCUUGCUAGAAGCUCGAAAUCUUUCCUCGAAGGGC
RNAcentral lists this small nucleolar RNA (107 nucleotides) under Oryza punctata. RNAcentral describes it as "Plant small nucleolar RNA R71". It matches the Rfam family "Plant small nucleolar RNA R71". From Rfam's summary of the family: R71 is a member of the C/D box family of snoRNAs containing the C (UGAUGA) and D (CUGA) box motifs. The record is from Rfam by way of RNAcentral. Lineage: Eukaryota; Viridiplantae; Streptophyta; Magnoliopsida; Poales; Poaceae.